This is a transfer RNA of Ovis aries (sheep), 69 nucleotides long. It matches the Rfam family "tRNA". From Rfam's summary of the family: Transfer RNA (tRNA) molecules are approximately 80 nucleotides in length. Their secondary structure includes four short double-helical elements and three loops (D, anti-codon, and T loops). Further hydrogen bonds mediate the characteristic L-shaped molecular structure. tRNAs have two regions of fundamental functional importance: the anti-codon, which is responsible for specific mRNA codon recognition, and the 3' end, to which the tRNAs corresponding amino acid is attached (by aminoacyl-tRNA synthetases). tRNAs cope with the degeneracy of the genetic code in two manners: having more than one tRNA (with a specific anti-codon) for a particular amino acid; and 'wobble' base-pairing, i.e. permitting non-standard base-pairing at the 3rd anti-codon position. The record is from Rfam. NCBI's taxonomy places the organism in Eukaryota, Metazoa, Chordata, Mammalia, Artiodactyla, Bovidae.
CCUGGUGGCUCAGAGGUUAAAGCGUCUGCCUCCAAUGCAGGAGACCCAGGUUCAAUCCCUGGGUCAGGA